UACAGAGGGGGCAAGCGUUGUUCGGAAUUACUGGGCGUAAAGGGCGCGUAGGCGGCCUGCUAAGUCGAACGUGAAAUCCCUGGGCUCAACCCAGGAACUGCGUCCGAUACUGGUUGGCUUGAAUCCGGGAGAGGGAUGUGGAAUUCCAGGUGUAGCGGUGAAAUGCGUAGAUAUCUGGAGGAACACCGGUGGCGAAGGCGACAUCCUGGGACGGUACUGACGCUGAGACGCGAAAGCGUGGGGAGCGAACAGG
Molecule: ribosomal RNA, 253 nt
Filed under: uncultured bacterium
Lineage: Bacteria
Description: partial 16S ribosomal RNA
Rfam family: Bacterial small subunit ribosomal RNA
Source: RNAcentral